This 497-nucleotide ribosomal RNA is filed under the name uncultured bacterium. Its description in RNAcentral is "partial 16S ribosomal RNA". It matches the Rfam family "Bacterial small subunit ribosomal RNA", at positions 28 to 507 of the family's 1533-position model. The record is from RNAcentral.
GAUGAACGCUGGCGGCGUGCCUAAUACAUGCAAGUCGAGCGAACAGACGAGGAGCUUGCUCCUCUGACGUUAGCGGCGGACGGGUGAGUAACACGUGGAUAACCUACCUAUAAGACUGGGAUAACUUCGGGAAACCGGAGCUAAUACCGGAUAAUAUAUUGAACCGCAUGGUUCAAUAGUGAAAGACGGUUUUGCUGUCACUUAUAGAUGGAUCCGCGCCGCAUUAUCUGGUUGGUAAGGUAAAGGCUUACCAAGGCAACGAUGCGUAGCCGACCUGAGAGGGUGCUAGGCCACCCGGGAAGUGGGACACCGUCCAGACUCCUGCGGGAGGGAACAGUAGGGAAUCGUGCGCAAUGGGCGCAAACCUGACGGAACAACGCCGCGUGAGUGAUGAAGGUCUUCGGAUCGUAAAACUCUCUUAUUAGGGAAGAACAAAUGUGUCAGUAAAUAUGCACGUCUUGACGGUGCCUAAUCAGAAAGCUACGGCUAACUACGUG